This 274-nucleotide ribosomal RNA is filed under the name uncultured Burkholderiales bacterium. RNAcentral describes it as "partial 16S ribosomal RNA". It matches the Rfam family "Bacterial small subunit ribosomal RNA", at positions 505 to 778 of the family's 1533-position model. The record is from RNAcentral. Lineage: Bacteria; Pseudomonadati; Pseudomonadota; Betaproteobacteria; Burkholderiales.
GUGCCAGCAGCCGCGGUAAUACGUAGGGUGCGAGCGUUAAUCGGAAUUACUGGGCGUAAAGCGUGCGCAGGCGGUUAUAUAAGACAGUUGCGAAAUCCCCGGGCUUAACCUGGGAAUGGCGCUUGUGACUGCACGACUGGAGUGCGGCAGAGGGGGAUGGAAUUCCGCGUGUAGCAGUGAAAUGCGUAGAUAUGCGGAGGAACACCGAUGGCGAAGGCAGUCCCCUGGGCCUGCACUGACGCUCAUGCACGAAAGCGUGGGGAGCAAACAGGAU